Molecule: ribosomal RNA, 492 nt
Filed under: uncultured bacterium
Lineage: Bacteria
Description: partial 16S ribosomal RNA
Rfam family: Bacterial small subunit ribosomal RNA
Source: RNAcentral
AGUGAACGCUGGCGGUAGGCCUAACACAUGCCAGUCGAACGGCAGCACAGUAAGAGCUUGCUCUUACGGGUGGCGAGUGGCGGACGGGUGAGGAAUAAAUCGGAAUCUACUUUUUCGUGGGGGAGAACGUAGGGAAACUUACGCGAAUACCGCAAACGACCUACUGGUGAAAGCAGGGGAUCUUCGGACCUUGCGCGAUUGAAUGAGCCGAUGUCUGAUUAGCUAGUUGGCGGGGUAAAGGCCCACCAAGGCGACGAACCGUACCUGGUGUGGGAGGAUGGUCGCCCACCCUGGAAGUGGAACAGGGUCCCGACGCCUGCGGGAGGCCGCAGUGGGGAAUAUUGGACAAUGGGGGCAAGCAUGGUCCAACCAUACCGCGUCGGUGGAAAAGGCCUUCGGGUUGUAAAGCCCUUUUGUUGGGAAAGAAAAGCAGCAGGUUAAUACCCCGCUGUUCUGACGGUACCCAAAGAAUAAGCACCGGCUAACUUCGUG